Long non-coding RNA from Oryza brachyantha (malo sina), 725 nucleotides. RefSeq lists it as uncharacterized. NCBI's taxonomy places the organism in Eukaryota, Viridiplantae, Streptophyta, Magnoliopsida, Poales, Poaceae. The transcript has 4 exons. The record is from RefSeq and is a predicted model, not a curated record.
GUUUCCCUAUAUAAGGACCCGCCCGCGGCGCCGUCAGGCUGCCAAUUUUUUCGUCACCGCACGCCGUCCUCCGCCGCAGCCUGCCUGCGCCGUCGCCCUCCGACCGUCGUCCUCCGCCGCCAUCCUCCUCGCACGCCGACCUUCGACCUCCGGCCGCCGCCACCGGCCCAUCCACCGCUACCGGCCUCCACCGCGUGCGACUAGGGGGAGGAGGAGGCGGCGGCAUCGUCGGGCUGAGGGGAGGAGGCGGCGGCAGUGGUGUCGGGCUGGGGAGGGAUCCCGACUUCGACACGCUGGCCGUGAUUGGCGAGAGUGGGAUCAAUGCGAUUAAUGAUAGUUAAAAGCGUACAGUCCUAAUGCUGGGACUCUGGAGCUGACAAAGGCUAUCUGCAAUAAGCUCCAAGGCCACAUACCAACAUCAUAAAAAAAAUCAGAGCUGCACAGGGUGUUAAGAUAUCGGCAUAGGGACCGGUCUUCAACAUGCAAUUGCAGGGACUGCUCUUUAUGUGUCAAAGCAUGAUGAUGAUCUGGACAGACUAAAUAUGUUGUGAUGAAAGAGAUGACUACGGUUAGACAUCAGAUUUAUUAGAGUGGUCAACGUGUCUAUGUACAAGCAUGUACCCUUGUGUCGUUGGAAGCGAAUAGUCAGCUAAGGCGAAGAAAAGGAAGGGCGAGAGAAGCGUGAAUAAAAAGGAUAAAGGGUUCCAUGUUGUUACACAUGUAUU